This 92-nucleotide transfer RNA is filed under the name Planctomycetota bacterium. Its description in RNAcentral is "Planctomycetes bacterium tRNA-Ser". It matches the Rfam family "tRNA". From Rfam's summary of the family: Transfer RNA (tRNA) molecules are approximately 80 nucleotides in length. Their secondary structure includes four short double-helical elements and three loops (D, anti-codon, and T loops). Further hydrogen bonds mediate the characteristic L-shaped molecular structure. tRNAs have two regions of fundamental functional importance: the anti-codon, which is responsible for specific mRNA codon recognition, and the 3' end, to which the tRNAs corresponding amino acid is attached (by aminoacyl-tRNA synthetases). tRNAs cope with the degeneracy of the genetic code in two manners: having more than one tRNA (with a specific anti-codon) for a particular amino acid; and 'wobble' base-pairing, i.e. permitting non-standard base-pairing at the 3rd anti-codon position. RNAcentral also lists the same sequence under 1 other name. The record is from RNAcentral. Lineage: Bacteria; Pseudomonadati; Planctomycetota.
GGGGAGGUGGCAGAGUGGUCGAAUGCGGCGGCUUGCUAAGCCGUUGUACGGUCAAUACCGUACCGCGGGUUCGAAUCCCGCCCUUCCCGCCA